RNAcentral lists this ribosomal RNA (253 nucleotides) under uncultured bacterium. RNAcentral describes it as "partial 16S ribosomal RNA". It matches the Rfam family "Bacterial small subunit ribosomal RNA", at positions 524 to 776 of the family's 1533-position model. The record is from RNAcentral.
UACGUAGGCAGCGAGCGUUGUUCGGAGUUACUGGGCGUAAAGGGUGUGUAGGCGGUUGUUUAAGUUUGGUGUGAAAUCUCCCGGCUCAACUGGGAGGGUGCGCCGAAUACUGAGCGACUAGAGUGCGGGAGAGGAAAGUGGAAUUCCUGGUGUAGCGGUGAAAUGCGUAGAUAUCAGGAGGAACACCGGUGGUGUAGACGGCUUUCUGGACCGUAAAUGACGCUGAGACACGAAAGCGUGGGUAGCAAACAGG